RNAcentral lists this long non-coding RNA (331 nucleotides) under Ananas comosus (pineapple). RNAcentral's name for it is "long non-coding RNA (ACOM_LNC013039)". The record is from RNAcentral. Lineage: Eukaryota; Viridiplantae; Streptophyta; Magnoliopsida; Poales; Bromeliaceae.
GACGAAAACAUCAAGACUUAAAAAGCGGAGCAAUAUGACACCUUAUGAAAAGAUAUCGUAAUUGGUAUCAGAGUCAAUCAUAAGUUAGAAGUGUAAGAUGAGUUUUGGCUGAGCGAGAGACAUACAGCGGGCAGAAUUCGGCUCUUCAACUGACGACCGAUCUAAGUGGAGCAAAUCUCCCCAUAAAAUCAGUUAAGACUAGUGAGACGAGUUUUAUAUUGUCUGAUACUUGUGAGUUUCUUAAUCUGAUUAUAUUAUUUUUGACGGUGACUAGACCCAAAAAGUUAGAAGAGUUAAAUGUACUAGAACUGUAGUAGUUUUUAGGAUGGGU